UACGGAGGAUGCGAGCGUUAUCCGGAUUUAUUGGGCGUAAAGCGUGCGCAGGCGGUUUGUUAAGUCUAAAAUUAAAGCCCGAAGCUUAACUUCGGUUCGUUUUAGAAACUGGCAGACUUGAGUGUGGUAGAGGCAAAUGGAAUUUCUAGUGUAGCGGUAAAAUGCGUAGAUAUUAGAAGGAACACCAGUGGCGAAGGCGAUUUGCUGGGCCAUUACUGACGCUCAUGCACGAAAGCGUGGGGAGCAAAUAG
This 251-nucleotide ribosomal RNA is filed under the name uncultured bacterium. RNAcentral's name for it is "partial 16S ribosomal RNA". It matches the Rfam family "Bacterial small subunit ribosomal RNA", at positions 524 to 775 of the family's 1533-position model. The record is from RNAcentral.